UAAUGCCGGAUGCUCCAUCACACCGCAUGGUGUGUUGGGAAAGCCUUUGCGGCAUGGGAUGGGGUCGCGUCCUAUCAGCUUGAUGGCGGGGUAACGGCCCACCAUGGCUUCGACGGGUAGCCGGCCUGAGAGGGCGACCGGCCACAUUGGGACUGAGAUACGGCCCAGACUCCUACGGGAGGCAGCAGUGGGGAAUAUUGCACAAUGGGCGCAAGCCUGAUGCAGCGACGCCGCGUGAGGGAUGGAGGCCUUCGGGUUGUAAACCUCUUUUGUUAGGGAGCAAGGCAUUUUGUGUUGAGUGUACCUUUCGAAUAAGCACCGGCUAACUACGUGCCAGCAGCCGCGGUAAUACGUAGGGUGCAAGCGUUAUCCGGAAUUAUUGGGCGUAAAGGGCUCGUAGGCGGUUCGUCGCGUCCGGUGUGAAAGUCCAUCGCUUAACGGUGGAUCCGCGCCGGGUACGGGCGGGCUUGAGUGCGGUAGGGGAGACUGGAAUUCCCGGUGUAACGGUGGAAUGUGUAGAUAUCGGAAAGA
Molecule: ribosomal RNA, 531 nt
Filed under: Bifidobacterium breve
Lineage: Bacteria; Bacillati; Actinomycetota; Actinomycetes; Bifidobacteriales; Bifidobacteriaceae
Description: bacterial SSU rRNA
Rfam family: Bacterial small subunit ribosomal RNA
Source: RNAcentral